CCUACGGGUGGCAGCAGUGAGGAAUAUUGGUCAAUGGACGAGAGUCUGAACCAGCCAAGUAGCGUGAAGGAUGACUGCCCUAUGGGUUGUAAACUUCUUUUAUAUGGGAAUAAAACGUUCCACGUGUGGGAUUUUGUAUGUACCAUAUGAAUAAGGAUCGGCUAACUCCGUGCCAGCAGCCGCGGUAAUACGGAGGAUCCGAGCGUUAUCAGGAUUUAUUGGGUUUAAAGGGAGCGUAGGUGGAUUGUUAAGUCAGUUGUGAAAGUUUGCGGCUCAACCGUAAAAUUGCAGUUGAAACUGGCAGUCUUGAGUACAGUAGAGGUGGGCGGAAUUCGUGGUGUAGCGGUGAAAUGCUUAGAUAUCACGAAGAACUCCGAUUGCGAAGGCAGUUCACUGGACUGCAACUGACACUGAGGCUCGAAAGUGUGGGUAUCAAACAGGAUUAGAUACCCCAGUAGUC
This 460-nucleotide ribosomal RNA is filed under the name uncultured bacterium. Its description in RNAcentral is "partial 16S ribosomal RNA". It matches the Rfam family "Bacterial small subunit ribosomal RNA", at positions 338 to 795 of the family's 1533-position model. The record is from RNAcentral.